Molecule: ribosomal RNA, 434 nt
Filed under: uncultured bacterium
Lineage: Bacteria
Description: partial 16S ribosomal RNA
Rfam family: Bacterial small subunit ribosomal RNA
Source: RNAcentral
AACGAACGCUGGCGGCAUGCCUAACACAUGCAAGUCGAACGAACCUUUCGGGGUUAGUGGCGGACGGGUGCGUAACACGUGGGAACGUGCCUUUAGGUUCGGAAUAACUCAGGGAAACUUGUGCUAAUACCGAAUGUGCCCUUCGGGGGAAAGAUUUAUCGCCUUUGGAGUGGCCCGCGUCGGAUUAGCUAGUUGGUUGAGGUAAUGGCUCACCAAGGCGACGAUCAGUAGCUGGUCUGAGAGGAUGAUCAGCCACAUUGGGACUGAGACACGGCCCAAACUCCUACGGGAGGCAGCAGUGGGGAAUAUUGCGCAAUGGGCGAAAGCCUGACGCAGCCAUGCCGCGUGAAUGAUGAAGGUCUUAGGAUUGUAAAAUUCUUUCACCGGGGACGAUAAUGACGGUACCCGGAGAAGAAGCCCCGGCUAACUUCGUG